Molecule: ribosomal RNA, 771 nt
Filed under: uncultured bacterium
Lineage: Bacteria
Description: bacterial SSU rRNA
Rfam family: Bacterial small subunit ribosomal RNA
Source: RNAcentral
AGAGUUUGAUCAUGGCUCAGAACGAACGCUGGCGGCGUGCUUAACACAUGCAAGUCGAGUGCGCGUUCCGUAGCAAUACGGAAUGGCGCACGGCGCACGGGUGCGUAACACGUGGGUAACCUGCCCUUUGGUGGGGAAUAACUCCGCGAAAGCGGAGCUAAUUCCGCAUAAGAUCCGCAAGGAUGAAAGCCGAGAGGCGCCGAUGGAGGGGCCCGCGCACGAUUAGCUAGUUGGUAGGGUAACGGCCUACCAAGGCUUUGAUCGUUAGCUGGUCUGAGAGGAUGGCCAGCCACACUGGAACUGAGACACGGUCCAGACUCCUACGGGAGGCAGCAGUGGGGAUCUUGCACAAUGGGCGAAAGCCUGAUGCAGCGACGCCGCGUGGGGGAUGAAGCAUUUCGGUGUGUAAACCCCUUUCGAUCCGGACGAAUGCCCGCAAGGGAUUGACGGUACGGAUAUAAGAAGCCCCGGCUAACUACGUGCCAGCAGCCGCGGUAAGACGUAGGGGGCCAGCGUUGUUCGGAAUUACUGGGUGUAAAGGGUUCGUAGGCGGUGCGGCAAGUUGGGAGUGAAAUCUCUGGGCUUAACCCAGAGGCUGCUUCCAAAACUGCUGUGCUUGAGUGUGGGAGAGGCGCGUGGAAUUGCAGGUGUAGCGGUGAAAUGCGUAGAUAUCUGCAGGAACACCCGUGGCGAAAGCGGCGCGCUGGACCACUACUGACGCUGAGGAACGAAAGCUAGGGGAGCAAACAGGAUUAGAUACCCUAGUAGUCC